AAUCAUUUGUCUUUUAAAUGAAGACUUGUAUGAACGGCAAAACCUCCUCCAACUGUCUCCCCUCCCAUCCUUCCAAAUUUCCUCCUGUGUGAAGAAGCACAGAUACACCAGAAAGACGAGAAGACCCUGUCGAGCUUUAACCACUAAGUGGGCCUCACCCUUUCAGGCACCACCCAAAGGUUUUGGUUGGGGCAACCACGGAGAAAAAACAUCCUCCAGAACGAAUAGAAGAAAGCUUUUCACUAUUAUUAUGAUUAAGAACCAGGAACUGGUAUUCGGAAAGAGUUACCGCAGGGAUAACAGCGUCGUCUCCUCUAAGAGUCCUUAUUGACAAGGAGGUUUGCGACCUCGAUGUUGGAUUGGGGCCCCCUUAGGGUGCAGAAGCUCUAAACGGUUAGACUGUUCGUCUAUUAAAGCCCUACAUGAUCUGAGUUCAAACCGGAG
RNAcentral lists this ribosomal RNA (444 nucleotides) under Holothuria mammata. Its description in RNAcentral is "partial 16S ribosomal RNA". It matches the Rfam family "Bacterial large subunit ribosomal RNA", at positions 1963 to 2621 of the family's 2925-position model. The record is from RNAcentral. Lineage: Eukaryota; Metazoa; Echinodermata; Holothuroidea; Aspidochirotida; Holothuriidae.